GAGUUUGAUCUUGGCUCAGAACGAACGCUGGCGGCAUGCUUUACACAUGCAAGUCGAACGAGUAUGGAACCCUAGCAAUAGGGCACCCAGCUAGUGGCAAACGGGUGAGUAACGCGUGGGAACCUUCCCUACAGUACGGAAUAGCCUCGGGAAACUGGGAUUAAUACCGUAUAUUCUCUUCGGAGGAAAGAUUUAUCGCUGUAGGAUGGGCCCGCGUCAGAUUAGCUAGUUGGUGGGGUAAUGGCCUACCAAGGCAACAAUCUGUAGCUGGUCUGAGAGGAUGAUCAGCCACACUGGAACUGAGACACGGUCCAGACUCCUACGGGAGGCAGCAGUGGGGAAUAUUGGACAAUGGGCGCAAGCCUGAUCCAGCAAUGCCGCGUGAGCGAUGAAGGCCUUAGGGUUGUAAAGCUCUUUCGCAGGGGAAGAUAAUGACGGUACCCUGAUAAGAAGCCCCGGCAAACUUCGUGCCAGCCGCCGCCGUAAC
RNAcentral lists this ribosomal RNA (487 nucleotides) under uncultured Alphaproteobacteria bacterium. RNAcentral describes it as "bacterial SSU rRNA". It matches the Rfam family "Bacterial small subunit ribosomal RNA", at positions 9 to 524 of the family's 1533-position model. Lineage: Bacteria; Pseudomonadati; Pseudomonadota; Alphaproteobacteria. The record is from RNAcentral.